Molecule: ribosomal RNA, 1483 nt
Filed under: uncultured bacterium
Lineage: Bacteria
Description: bacterial SSU rRNA
Rfam family: Bacterial small subunit ribosomal RNA
Source: RNAcentral
GACGAACGCUGGCGGCAGGCUUAUUCAUGCGCGUCCCACGAGAACGCUCUGGCUUUGCCAGGGCAAGUACUGUGGCGGACGGGUGCUUAUCGCGUAGAUAACCUGCCCUCACGCGCGGGACAAUCACAGUAAACCGUGGCUUAUACCUCACCUCUUCUGGACCCCUCCUGGGGACCAGAUGAAAGCCUUCGAGCCCCUUUGGAUGGGUCAGCGUUUGAUUAGCUUGCUCGCCAACUAACGGCGCACCAACGCGACGAUCCAUAGCUGGUCUGACAUGACCAUCAGCCACACUGAGGACUGAUACACAGCCCACACUCCCACCGCAUGCAUCACUGGGGAAUCUUGCACUAUGGGGUCACCCCUGAUGCUUCCCUGCCGCGUGGAAGAAGACACCCCUACGCGGCGUACACUCCUUUUCUGAAUGAACAAACCCCUGUAGGUUAAGGGCGCGACGCGUUUUCACGAAUAAGCACCGGCUAACUCCGCUGCCCUCUGCCGCGGUAUCUACUGACGGUGCAAGCGUUGUCCGGAAUCAUCUGGGUGUAAACGGGUGUGCACGCGGGCCACCCCGUCUUGAUGUGACACCCCAUGGCUUAACCAUGGAUGUGCAUUCGAAUCUGUUGCUCUUGAGUCCAGGACAAGCUGUCGGACUUCAUGGUGUAGCGGUGAAAUGCGUAGAUAUCACGAGGAACACCAGAGGCGAAAGCGGACAGAUGGACGGGUACUGACGAUGAGGCAGGAAAGCGGGGGGAGCAAACAGGAUGAGAUACGCUGGUAGUUCACGCGGUAAACGAUGAAUGCUCGCAGUUGACCGGUUCAAGGGGCAGUGGGUAAGCUAAUGCGUUAAGCGUUCCACCUGGGGAGUACGAUAGCAAGGUGGAAACUCAAAGGAAUUGACGGGGGCCCGCACAAGCGGUGGAGCAUGUGGUUCACAUUCGAUGCAACGCGAAGAACGUUACCUAGGUUCGAACGAUAAAGGACGGCUCCAGAAAGGGAGCUUCCCCUUAGGGGCGAUUAGCGAGGUAGUGCAGGGCUGUCGUCAGUUUGUGUGGUGAGAUGUGGGGUUAAGUCCCGCAAGGAGCGCAACCCCCGUUGCGUAGUUACCAUCGGGUAAUGCCGGGGACUCUAGAGAAAUCGCCUGCGCAAGCAGUGAGGAAGGUGGGGACGAGGUCAAGUCAUCAUGGUCGGUAAGCGUAGGGUCGCACAAGUGAUACAAUGGCCGGUACAAGGAGCAGCCACCUAGCGAGAGGGAGAGAAUAUGCGAAAACCGGUGCCAGUUCGGAGGGGAGUCCGCAACUUGAUUCCAUGAAGCAGGAAUGGCUAGUAAUCGUGGAUCAGCGAAUGACGGGGUGAAUCGAUUCCCGGGCGCUGCACACACGGCCAGUCGAGCCAUGGACGCCGAGAGCCCCCGGAGUCCGCGCCUGAAGUCGGCCGAGGGGCCUGAUGGAGAGCGGCCGUAGGUAGCGCUCAGUCAGUGGGUCGU